UGGUGGAAAAUUCUUGAUAAUUCCAUAAUUCGAAUAGAAAGAAGUUACAACGUUAAUCAAAACAUAGUUAAACAAUCUUAACAAAGGUGAUUAUAAUAAAUUAUUAUACAUACAAUAAUAGAAUGUGACUGUGUCUGUGUCUGCAUAUUCUCAACCAGAUCCUCCGGGUGAGCUGUGACUAGGAGGAGCAUUAAUCCCUGUCAAAAUCCUGCGGAGUUUUGGCAUCUGAUCUUCGUGAAUAAAGUUGCCCUUUUGAAUGUGGUCGGAAACAUAUUUUGACAUCAUCGGAUGCUUUCCUGCAUCUUCAUAAGCAUAUGAAUGGGUAUUGAUUCUCUGAUUCCCAAUUUUCUCUUUCCUUGGUUCCAAUUCAAGUUGAAUAGCAAGUGAGGAUGAAACAGCAACAAUCAAGAUCAUCAACAUCACCAACUUCAUCAUCUACCUAGCUACUUUCAAAUUUGCUGCACUUUUGUUAAUAAUUAAUGUAUGAAUAAGACGAUGAGCAUAAAUAAAAUUCAAAGUUAACAAAAAAGUAAUAUAGUUAAAAAGUAAAAACAAAUUGAAGGUCUUGCGCAGUGUAUUGCAGUCUUCAAUUCUUAAAAAUUACACCUGUUUCUAAAUAUCAAAAAUAAAAAUAUAUGAAAUAUCUAUCUAAACCGGAGUGAUAAAGACACUUGUACAUACUAGGUUUAACGUGAAUCUGAAUAAAUAAAAGGUUUUAAAUUCUACUUUUUCAAUUUCCAAUCCCAAUUUUAAAAAACGACGCUUAUAGUCUAUGCUAGUUGUCACGGUUUCAGAUUUUAGCAAUCGUCAGGAACCGUGCGGCACUUGACUUGAACACCUUCAAGCCAAGUCAGCCUUAAGAAUCACCUAAUAUCCUGUGAACAUGAAUACCCUGAUUAGUCAAUGUUAUAUAAAUGAACAACGAAGCCAACAGACAGCAUUCCAUCAGAAGCCUCACAGUAGGUACAAAAGAUAAGAACUGAACAUGGAAAUUCAUGAACAGGCUACUUAUUUUAUUAUAGGGGCAAAAUAGUAAUUAUACAUUAUCAUCGAUGCAAUCGUUACAAUAAUUCUCACCUCCCUUGUAGACAGGGGGGACGGUCUACAAGGAGUGAAGGAACAACUUGGAUCUCCGUAGGCCUACGGUAGCCAACUGGGCCCAGCCCCAGCUGGUGGCCAACUAGUCACUCCCCCCUAAAGAGCCUUAAGAACAACUUGGCCUAUGGCAGGAGGAGACAUCAACAUGUCUCAUAUGACACCCCCCCUAAAACAAAUACAUGGAAAAGAAUUACAACAAAUUGUCUCGGCCAUUAUCUUCCUACUAAUUUCUACUAUUUUAUCCUAAUAUUGCUUUCUAGGAAUUCCAAUGUUGGAAAAUUACAGUUUUGGUCCCUGAAAACUCUAUGACCCUGACACUCCCCCACUUAAACGGUCGACGUCCUCGUCGACUGGGUUUGUUGGGGUUCUUCAAUCUUUGAGUCCGACAUUCUUAGGCUUGUAGUGUGAUUUGAUCCCAGUCCUGCUCCAUUAAAUUGUUGGACAGCCUUAAUCCUUAGUAUCUCCUCCCAAUUGAUCUCUGUGGACUGCUACUUCUUAAUGAUGAUGAGACUACAAAAGCUCUAUCUUCUGGUGGUAAAUGUUCUGCCCUUGAUUCCUUAGACUACUGCAAACGGUGCUAGAAAGUAUUGCUCUCCUCCUCUGCACGAACUUAUUGCUUGAAGUCAUUGAUCACUGGUUCUUUUCUCUGCACGAACUCAUUGCCUGAAGUCAUUGAUCACUAGUUCUUUUCUCCUAAACCUGUCUCGCCAUUACUCGUCUUUACUUGUCGACCUUACUCCUCGCCUCAAAAAGCAUGACCCCAUCAGGCAACAAAUCUAUCAACCUGCAUACACUCGUGCCACACGACAUCGUGAUUAACCUGUAAUAGUCUCAUAAGAAAGAUUAGUACCACCCAUGUCAGAUUCAAAUACAAAUUAGUAUAGCAAGUCAUCUAAAAUACAACCCAUUACAACUCAACAGGUGUGCCAAUCACACUUGACCACUAAGACUUGAACUGAUUUUAUCCAUUCCCUUGACAUAACACCACAUUAUCCCACUUGCAGCGAAGCUCGGCGAAUACUCCUAAGAAAUCGGUGUCUCCAUUGUCAAUAGAGAUCACUCCACACUCUCUUUCUCUUUUGUCCGUUUUACAGUCCUCCCUUCAUAAGCUUUGGUAUUAUGCUCACUUAAUCUCCUUUUUCUCUCUCCCUAAGAAUGUAGUUAAAGCAAAAUGCUUACAAAAUGACACACAUCACACACCAAAUAACCACGACCACUGAACCCUAUGAGCCGCAGAAGACUACUCAAAACAGCUACUAAGAUUGACUAUACAUAAAGCAAUUAAUAUCAUCAUUAUGAUUCAAUAAUAAGAAAUUACUAGAAGAUACCCCCUUUAUUAUGCCGCUUUCAUCAUAGCUCUCAACAUCGACUUGCCUCACCAACUUAGCUUAAGCAACCUGUGCUUCUCGACCUAUCUCGGUCCUCUUCCAUGUUGAUCCACUUGUGAGAACUUUUGUUUAGCCCUGAGGUCUCUUUCCUGCUCAACAACAAGGGUAGGACUAAAUUUGUCCUUUUAAUUAUACAUUAUUUUCCAAUCCUCUUUUUAAGGAAGCUAUACCCUGUAUGUUCACAAUAUCUGUUAGCACCAACUUGUCAAGUCCCACAUCACGAGGAACCUGGCUCAAUAAUACACAAAAUAUCUAAAAAAUGAAUAACUAAAAUGAAGUAAGACAAAGAAUAAUAUCAGGAAACACCAAAGCACUAUACUUGUCUGGUGUGAGAGAGUUCCCUCUUGUUAAAUUCCCUUCUCUCGUACUGAAUUGUCACUAAGGAUCUCCACCUCUCCUCAUUACCUUGAGCCCCACACUCCUUUGACUAGCUCACUGGUCCUCACUUUUGCCAGUUUCCACUUAUCCUCCUUCUUGUGUCGUAGGACGAGUGAAUUCCUUGCUUUCACAGCCCUGUUGCUCUCAAUGGAAUUUGAUACAACUCUCGCCCAAUGUCACCCUACAUGCCUCUUGGUUGUCCGAUCAAAAUGUUCACUUACCUCAAAGAGAAUGAACAUGUGCUCUGCAAUCAUAGUUGGUUGGCACCUAUCAUCCAUUGUUUCAUACUCUUGUAAUUGUUAUUUUCCUUUUUAGGGUAUGCCUUUCCUAUUUUGAUGCUCGUUUUCUGUAUUCCUGUAAAGGAUAUGUUUUUGAGAGAUGAGGCAACUACCACUUUUGAUCUAUCACCAUCUCAUCCACACCAGUGUUUCACAUGGAUCCCUCAAGGCUCUUCUUUCUGCACUAACAACAUUGCACAACCUAGCAAGAGUUACAGGAGCAAUAACUUGCUCACUAAUUACGCACCAGGAUCAAGUAAUUUAUAAAAGAAUAUCAUAACAGUUGAUAACCAUGGUACUCAUUUCUCAUAAUGACCACAUUUAUUUAUUUACCUAUUUUGUUCCACUUACUCACAAAUAGACAAUACUUCAUCGAAUGCUACUUUUUGUCGAGUUUACUCUUGCACCCCCUCGUGCUAGAUAGCCACUAGGUUCUUCUUCACUACUCUUGCUUACCUCUCCUUUAUCAAGGAACAAUUAUUGGACAAUACAGAGAUAACUUGUGCCUUUCUUGGGAGACGCCACACCCAUUAACGUCUCGGAUUCACUACAGGAAGGAAUUGUGAAGUCCAUCUUGCUUUUUGAUGUCCUUGAUUAAGCGAGUUUGUCAAAGGACAUGCUCACAUUAAUCCCUGCACUCAAGUUGUCCGCUUUAUCUCUAUUUCCUCAUAUCAUCCACUUCAGUUUUAGUCUUGAUUCUAGCAAUUGUGUAAACGGUCCACGAAUCUUGUAUCUUGUGCCCGCUUCGUAGCAUCAACUCCAAUGUACCUGACACCGGGCAAUGAUAUGUUGUUUUAUACUAGGUCCGAUUCUCAUUUCCUCUCUUAAAGUCCUCUAUGAGACUUUAAAGAUCUCCUCGUCCGUCCCAUGUCCCUUAUUUGACACAUAACUCGCAGAAUAUUUCCAUCAUGCUUGAUCCCUUCACGCGAACAAUACUACCUUAGACGAGGAGGAACAAGAAAAUACAAACAACUUAGAGUUGACAACUCUAUGAUUUAUACCUUAUGUUCCCUCCUCCCUUACUCACCAAGUCCUUCAAGACCUUCGAAGCAUUUUUGCCCAAGCAAUUUGUAGAAUAAUAUGGCUUUCUUCAUAGAGAACACUUCAUACUGCUUAGUUAUGCCACUUCUAUGUCAUCUUGUUAAUCACAUUUCAGAUCGCUCCCCCACUUACUGCUUUAGCCCAUCUUCUUAGGCGGCUAUCAAUUAGAUACCAGAGUUGAACAUCUCUUUAACUCCUUGGUAAUAGAAUCAACUCAAUCUUAGUCAUCCUUUGCUCUACACCAUAUUCAGGAAGGUUUUAAGCUCAUCCAUGUCUCUUGAAUCUGUUGUCACAAUCCGCUUACUCUAUUAAAGUCAAGUGCCACAUUCUUUCGUGUUAGCCAUAUAUGCUAAACAAUUCCUUUAUGUACUUUCCUUAUGAACACUUUGUUGGAGUUUACCAACUCUCUUGAAUAACGAAUGUUACUUGUAGUAAAAUUGAAGCUUACCAUUUCAUAUCCCUUUUCUCAUGUCCAGUGGGAACGCUCUCUAUCCAUAAGACUUUACACUUUCAUCCUUGGAAUAAAUUUAGCUUUAUAGUUCGAUCACAUAAAUGUUGUUCUUUAUAUAUAUGCACAAUCACAAUUCCCAAUAAUAUUAACAAAUAAGUUCAUAUUAAAGAGAAAAUCAUCUACCUCCAUCCCACGACACAGAUUGAGGUUCUGGGAUUCCACCAUUGCCUACUUCAUAGGCAUUAGCUCGUAAUGCACGCCAUUAAUAAAUGUUCCUCUGGUUCACUUCUGAAGUAUUGCUCAUAGUCUCUCCUAUGUUAUCUUUAAUAUUCUUGCACCAUUCCUGCAAGCAAAAACAAUACAUGAGAGGCUUUUGCCUCACUUUUGUCUCAGAAGGCCUCUUGCCUCAAUUCUAUCUCAGGAGGCCUCUUGCCUCAAUUGUGUCUCAGAAGGCCUCUUGCCUUAAUUUUGAGUGAAAUGGUCUCGGGAUUCUCAGAUGGCCUCAAGCUCUAUUGGCUCAUCCUCCCCCUUAUCACUAUACCUGAGGUCAUUACUCCCUCUCCAAGGGCCACUAAAAGGAAGUAGGUAGCACCUAGUCAUUACCCUCUCUCCAGAAGACAUUUCCAAUGGAGUGUGCAGUACUAGGCUAUUACCUCACUCCCAAUGGUGUCCCGAUGGAGCGUGCAGCACCUCUAGUUAAUAUGGCCAGUCUAGCCCGAAGGCUCAUGCUUUUGUCUUCUUUGCCUCACAAUGUGUUAUUACUCCACGUAGCUUCAUAAUUGGGAGGUCACUACCUCCCCCUUUCCCCACUUUAUGCUCAAGAUCACCCCACUGGGUGUCAUUCGCAUGAAAGAGGCUUUGGAUGGCCUCAAUCUCUCGCCAAUUUGGCUAUCAUUGCCAACAACGUUCAUUUUUUUUUUUCCCAUUUCUAGUGCCUCAAAGCACUUCUAACCAGAAUCAAUCUCCAACGCCUUCUCCUCUUAAGUGGUAUAGACAACCCACCAGGCAGCACGAUUCUCACCCUUCUCUCAAUGGUCUUCGUGCAUUUCUUUUAUAUUGCUCGCAGAUCUUUCUUGCUCUGAUACCAAUUGUCACGGUUUCAGAUUUUAGCAAUCGCCAGGAACCGUGCGGCACUUGACUUGAACACCUUCAAGCCAAGUCAGCCUUAAGAAUCACCCAAUAUCCUGUGAACAUGAAUACCCUGAUUAGUCAAUGUUAUAUAAAUGAACAACGAAGCCAACAGACAGCAUUCCAUCAGAAGCCUCACAGUAGGUACAAAAGAUAAGAACUGAACAUGGAAAUUCAUGAACAGGCUACUUAUUUUAUUAUAGGGGCAAAAUAGUAAUUAUACAUUAUCAUCGAUGCAAUCGUUACAAUAAUUCUCACCUCUCUUGUAGACAGGGGGGACGGUCUACAAGGAGUGAAGGAACAACUUGGAUCUCCGUAGGCCUACGGUAGCCAACUGGGCCCAGCCCCAGCUGGUGGCCAACUAGUCACUCCCCCCUAAAGAGCCUUAAGAACAACUUGGCCUAUGGCAGGAGGAGACAUCAACAUGUCUCAUAUGACACCCCCCCUAAAACAAAUACAUGGAAAAGAAUUACAACAAAUUGUCUCGGCCAUUAUCUUCCUACUAAUUUCUACUAUUUUAUCCUAAUAUUGCUUUCUAGGAAUUCCAAUGUUGGAAAAUUACAGUUUUGGUCCCUGAAAACUCUAUGACCCUGACACUAGUCAUUCGACUUUAAUUCUCAAGAAUUACACUCAACGUCUAAAUAUUAAAAAUAAAAACAUAUAAUGGUUUUUCGUUUUAAAAAAAAAAAACAAAUCAAAGAAUUACCAAACCUUGCCUAAUAUCAAGCAAGCAACUUCCUG
RNAcentral lists this long non-coding RNA (6503 nucleotides) under Manihot esculenta (cassava). Its description in RNAcentral is "long non-coding RNA (MESC_LNC006177)". Lineage: Eukaryota; Viridiplantae; Streptophyta; Magnoliopsida; Malpighiales; Euphorbiaceae. The record is from RNAcentral.